CUUGCUUUCUUUGCCGGCGACCGGCGCACGGGUGAGUAACACGUAUCCAACCUGCCCUUUACUCGGGGAUAGCCUUUCGAAAGAAAGAUUAAUACCCGAUGGCAUAAUGAUUCCGCAUGGUUUCAUUAUUAAAGGAUUCCGGUAAAGGAUGGGGAUGCGUUCCAUUAGGUUGUUGGUGAGGUAACGGCUCACCAAGCCUUCGAUGGAUAGGGGUUCUGAGAGGAAGGUCCCCCACAUUGGAACUGAGACACGGUCCAAACUCCUACGGGAGGCAGCAUG
Molecule: ribosomal RNA, 279 nt
Filed under: uncultured bacterium
Lineage: Bacteria
Description: partial 16S ribosomal RNA
Rfam family: Bacterial small subunit ribosomal RNA
Source: RNAcentral